Molecule: ribosomal RNA, 492 nt
Filed under: uncultured bacterium
Lineage: Bacteria
Description: partial 16S ribosomal RNA
Rfam family: Bacterial small subunit ribosomal RNA
Source: RNAcentral
AGUGAACGCUGGCGGUAGGCCUAACACAUGCAAGUCGAACGGCAGCACAGUAAGAUCUUGCUCUUACGGGUUGCGAGUGGCGUACGGGUGAUGAAUACAUCGUAAUCUACUUUUUCUUGUGUGAUAACGUAGGGAAACUUACGCUAAUACCGCAUACGACCUACCGUUGUAAUCAUGGGAUCUUCUGACCUUGCGCGAUUUUAUUCGCCUAUGUCGGAUUAGCUAGUUGGCUGGGUAAAGGCCCACCAAGGCGACGAUGCGUAUCUGGUCUGAGAGGAUGAGCAGCCACACUGGAACUGAGACACGGACAAGAAUCCGACGGGAGGGAGCAGUGGGGAAUAUUGGACAAGGGGAGAAAGCAUGAUACAGAAAUACCGAGUGGGUGAAGAAGGACUUCGGGUUGUAAAGCCCUUUUGUGGGGAAAGAAAAGAAGGAGGAUAAAACCAGGAUGUACUGACGGUACCCAAAGAAUAAGCACCGGCUAACUUCGUG